GACGAACGCUGGCGGCGUGCUUAACACAUGCAAGUCGAACGCUGAAGCCCAGCUUGCUGGGUGGAUGAGUGGCGAACGGGUGAGUAACACGUGAGUAACCUGCCCCCUUCUUUGGGAUAACGCCCGGAAACGGGUGCUAAUACUGGAUAUUCACUGGCCUUCGCAUGGGGGUUGGUGGAAAGGUUUUUUCUGGUGGGGGAUGGGCUCGCGGCCUAUCAGCUUGUUGGUGGGGUGAUGGCCUACCAAGGCUUUGACGGGUAGCCGGCCUGAGAGGGUGACCGGUCACAUUGGGACUGAGAUACGGCCCAGACUCCUACGGGAGGCAGCAGUGGGGAAUAUUGCACAAUGGGCGAAAGCCUGAUGCAGCGACGCCGCGUGAGGGAUGACGGCCUUCGGGUUGUAAACCUCUUUCGCUCAUGGUCAAGCCGCAGCUUUGGGUUGUGGUGAGGGUAGUGGGUAAAGAAGCGCCGGCUAACUACGUGCCAGCAGCCGCGGUAAUACGUAGGGCGCGAGCGUUGUCCGAAAUUAUUGGGCGUAAAGGGCUUGUAGGCGGUUGGUCGCGUCUGCCGUGAAAUCCUCUGGCUUAACUGGGGGCGUGCGGUGGGUACGGGCUGACUUGAGUGCGGUAGGGGAGACUGGAACUCCUGGUGUAGCGGUGGAAUGCGCAGAUAUCAGGAAGAACACCGGUGGCGAAGGCGGGUCUCUGGGCCGUUACUGACGCUGAGAAGCGAAAGCGUGGGGAGCGAACAGG
RNAcentral lists this ribosomal RNA (751 nucleotides) under uncultured Actinomyces sp. RNAcentral's name for it is "bacterial SSU rRNA". It matches the Rfam family "Bacterial small subunit ribosomal RNA", at positions 28 to 776 of the family's 1533-position model. The record is from RNAcentral. Lineage: Bacteria; Bacillati; Actinomycetota; Actinomycetes; Actinomycetales; Actinomycetaceae.